CGCCUACGGGAGGCAGCAGUAGGGAAUCUUCCACAAUGGGCGCAAGCCUGAUGGAGCAACGCCGCGUGAGUGAAGACGGCCUUCGGGUUGUAAAGCUCUGUCUGUCGGGACGAGGACCCGGGUGCAAACCCGGGGGGGACGGUACCGGCGGAGGAAGCCCCUGCAAACUACGUGCCAGCAGCCGCGGUAAGACGUAGGGGGCAAGCGUUGUCCGGAAUUACUGGGCGUAAAGGGCGUGUAGGCGGUAUCACACGUAGCGGUUUUCAGCCGUCGGCUCACCCGACGGAGGGCGGCUAAACGGUGGCACUGGAGGGCAGGAGAGGUGCACGGAAUUCCUGGUGGAGCGGUGAAAUGCGUAGAGAUCAGGAAGAACACCCGUGGCGAAGGCGGUGCACUGGCCUGACCCUGACGCUGAGGCGCGACAGCGUGGGGAGCGAACGGGAUUAGAUACCCCGGUAGUCCACGCCGUAAACGGAUGGAUAGUAGGUGUCGCGGGG
This 497-nucleotide ribosomal RNA is filed under the name uncultured Sulfobacillus sp. RNAcentral describes it as "bacterial SSU rRNA". It matches the Rfam family "Bacterial small subunit ribosomal RNA", at positions 336 to 830 of the family's 1533-position model. Lineage: Bacteria; Bacillati; Bacillota; Clostridia; Eubacteriales; Clostridiales Family XVII. Incertae Sedis. The record is from RNAcentral.